GCAGGGUGUGCCUGCCAUGCAGGGUUGCCAUGUGAGCCGCCAAAGGAAUUAGAGGUCCAGACCCUUCUCCACAUUGGCUCCAAUGUCGGUAUUUCACAGCACUGACUUAUUUCCCGUUGUAAUUUGGGGUGCAGUCCAGCAGCGUCUGAGGGUAGACACCAAGGCCACAGCUCAACAUUCUGUAGUGAAUGGGUAGUCACCCCAAUCCACGAAUGCUCCAGCUUGUGAACAGAGCCCAGGCUGAGGAAGGCUGGGUUGCAGGGAAGAAAGAAGUCAGCACCAACCCCCAGGAGCUCCAACUCGUGGAGCUUUCUUAUGGGAUACAUCCUGAAACUGUGUUCUAGCUCCCUCUGGAUUAGGAACUGGGUGCAAUGCAGACUCUAAAUUUCUGUAACAAUAUUUACUGCACAAUGUCAUGGAAAUUAAAUGAGCAAGAUACACAAAAGGAUUAAAUUCUAUGUCCAGGUGCCACAGAAGGGUUUGCCAUCACCAG
RNAcentral lists this long non-coding RNA (493 nucleotides) under Cricetulus griseus (Chinese hamster). RNAcentral describes it as "lncRNA (ENSCGRG00015030111.1)". The record is from RNAcentral. Lineage: Eukaryota; Metazoa; Chordata; Mammalia; Rodentia; Cricetidae.